GUGGCUGUGACACAGACAUGGUCUUUGUUCUUGAGGAGCCCGGGGCUGUGGGGGACAGAGGUGUCAGCACCUCUGUCAUUAUGACACCAGACAGCGGCCAGUGAGUGUGAGGUUUGGGGUUCAAGGGAAGCCUCCGGGGACCACAGGGGAGGAAGGAAUCCUUUUGACCGGAAGGUUGGUGCGUGAGACGGCGUUCGAGAGGUGCCCUAGCGGAUUCCUGGAGGAAUUUUCCAGGAUCUGCUUGUGGGGAACAUAACCGAUGAUGGUUGGCAUUGCAAACGGUCCCGGGAGGUGGAGUCUCAGGAUGGGCUUGUGGAACGGCAUCACUCACAGGUCAUCUGGGUAAAUUCCAAGGAGCGUGAUGACUGGAUCUCUGAUUUUAUUUCAUCAACAUUAUUGAUCACUCAAGGAGGAGAUGACGGAGAUGCAGCAGCUGGCUAGCGUGCACUGGCAGGGGCGGGAGCACGCCCUGGGAGUGGCCGCGGGGUCCAGUGUGAAGCAGAGUGGACAUGAGGCUGAGUGCGGGGCCCUGUCCCGUGACGCAGGAGCCCUGAGCCCAUCCUAUUAUGCCACAGGGAUGGCUGCUGGAGGCGUGGACAGGAAGACAGUCUACAGUAAAUGAGGUGGAGAUGACAAGACUGCCGAGGCAGAGUCGGGAGGAAGGAACCAAAAGGCUCAGGGAGGUGGAUGCGGUGGGGGGGGACUGCCCCCCCAGCCAAGAGGGUGAAUCAGAAGUGACACCACACAUUAGAAGGGGGAGCAGAGAUCAGAGCCAGCCUCCAAGACUCCCAGGGUGCAGGAGUGGUGGUUCCUCUCAGACCCCCAUUAAGUCACCAAGGGAGCCUUUGCAAAAACCCAGAGGAUCGCGGCAGAGGAUGGUAAAUGACGGCAAAUUUAACUAAGUAGUAGGACCAAUCACAGCUGCUGUGCUGACGUGGUGUCCUAAUAGACAGAGCCACAGCCUCUGGCACCUAGUGUGUGGCCAUCGAUCUGUACAUGUGUUGUUUUCUGUCCCCACCAGAAAGGAGGGUCAGAAGCAGUUCGUAUUCACCAGGGGCUGACAGUCCACGUUCAUCGUCCUAACUCCAGACUGUGUUAACUCUCCUGUUCUCUGUCCCAGCAUAAUCUGAAGGGAUCUUGGUCAUCUGAAUUGAGGUGGAUUUGUAUUGUGGCAACUUAGCUAAGCUGAAACUAGUUUCCCAGACCCCUUCCCUGCAGAGCUCUGGGGUCGUGAGUGCGACUUGGAAGGCAGAAGUGAAGCAGCUGACACAUUCAUUUUACGGAGACAUGGCAGGAGGUGCUAUUGCAGCCCAUGCAUGCUGUCACUUAUCUGCUGACUUACCUUGUUAUGGGACGGAGGCCAGGCCUACGGCUUCUCCGCCUAAGUGCCUGUGUUGCCAAGCACACGUUCAGGGGCUGGGCUGUCUUGACAGGCCUAGUUCCUGUCCUUGCUGGGCAGGACAGGCAAAGCUCUUGCUCUCGUGGAGCUUAUAUCCUCUUGAAGGUCAACGAAGGAGAUAGAAAAUGCUUCAAAGCCAAGUUCUUCAGAGCAGAACCUGCACCGUCAAGCCUGUUCCACACUGCCUUGCAGGACAGUAUGAUCCCACGUGGUGUUCAGAAAUAUUAUCGCUGUCCCAGUCAACCCAGUCUCUCGAUUUCAUCUUCAUCUCUGUCUCUUCUGGUUUGCAUUUGCUACCCUGAGCCUCGAGCAGUGGUUAUCUUGGAGAACCGAACUGGGGAAGGAGGGCUCCCCUGUUUAUUGUGCAUACAACCAGGGCAAAGAGAGACAAUGUAAUGUGCCCAAGGUCACACAGCUGAGAAGUGGCACUUGACCCCCGCCCCCACUUUGCACAUGGC
Molecule: non-coding RNA, 1857 nt
Organism: Microcebus murinus (gray mouse lemur)
Lineage: Eukaryota; Metazoa; Chordata; Mammalia; Primates; Cheirogaleidae
Source: RefSeq, a predicted model, not a curated record